AGUGGAUACUAGGGGUAGGGUUUUAUUCUGUGCCACCCCAAAACCCUAUUUCUAUUUCACAUUACUGUCACACUCUUUUUUUUUUUUUUUUUUUAAUUGGUCUUCUUCGCCGCCGUUCAGAAAAGUGGUUCGGUGAUUUCCCAGAAGCAAAAAGCAGCGUUGAGGGAGGCGUCUCACCAAGCACCAGAGCUUUCAAACACUUGAUCGAGGACAUGGCAGCUGCCAGGGAAUUUGGGGUGUCCGAAUUCCUACAGGGCACCUGCAGGCAGAGUUUGUUUUUGGUGAAGAAGCCUCUGAGUCAGAGAAGUCAUUUACUUUGGGGUACGCUUUGGAAUAGGAAUCGGGUUCUUGGUUCAACUCGAAAAGCUUUGCGUUUAAGGUGUCAAGCUCAAGAAAAUCCUAAAGCUGUGGUUUCUGGGGGUGUGAGCAGUUCAAUAGAAGAGCAAGCAGGUUUGGUUGAGAAACCUGCCUUGGAAGUUUUUCAUUUGUACCGGAUCCCUUUUAUUCAAGAAAGUAAAGCUGCUGAGAUUCUAAAGGAAGCUCAAGCAAAAAUCUCUAAUGAGAUCGUGGACCUACAAACAGAGCAAUGUUAUAAUAUUGGCCUUGGUUCACAACUGUCAAGUAGAAAACUUUCUGUCCUUAAAUGGCUUCUUCAAGAAACAUUUGAGCCUGAGAAUCUGGGUCCUGAGAGCUUUCUUGACAAGAAGAGGAAGGAGGGUUUGAUGACAUUUAUUAUAGAGGUUGGCCCUAGAUUGUCAUUUACCACAGCUUGGUCUGCUAAUGCUGUGGCGAUUUGCCAAGCUUGUGGUUUGACAGAAGUGAACCGUUUAGAGCGAUCAAGGAGGUACUUGUUGUAUACCACAUCUGAAUUACAAGAUUAUCAAAUCAAUGAAUUUGCAUCUAUGGUACAUGAUAGGAUGACUGAAUGUGUUUAUACUCAGAAGCUAACAUCAUUUGAGACCAGUGUAGUUCCAGAGGAAAUUCGAUAUAUACCUGUCAUGGAGAGGGGACAAAAAGCAUUAGAGGAGAUAAAUCUGGAGAUGGGUUUUGCCUUUGAUGACCAGGAUCUAGAAUACUACACCAAACUUUUCAGAGAAGAUAUUAAACGAAAUCCAACAAUUGUGGAAUUGUUUGAUAUUGCGCAGUCCAACAGUGAGCAUAGCAGGCAUUGGUUUUUUACUGGAAAGAUUUUCAUUGAUGGACAGCUUAUGAAUAGGACUCUUAUGCAAAUUGUGAAAAGUACUUUACAGGCAAAUCCGAAUAACUCAGUUAUUGGCUUUAAGGAUAACUCAAGUGCAAUAAGGGGUUUCCAAGUAAAGCAGUUGCGACCACUUCAGCCUGGUUCAGCAUGUCCGUUAAACAUGGCAACACGUGAGUUAGAUAUUUUAUUUACAGCUGAAACACAUAAUUUUCCAUGUGCAGUGGCACCUUAUCCUGGGGCAGAGACAGGUGCAGGAGGUCGAAUUAGGGAUACACAUGCAACAGGAAGGGGUUCCUUUGUCCAAGCAGCCACAGCUGGUUAUUGUGUUGGAAAUCUCAACACGUCAGGGUUUUAUGCUCCAUGGGAAGAUCCAUCCUUUACUUAUCCAUCGAAUUUGGCAUCACCUUUGCAAAUUCUUAUAGAUUCUAGUAAUGGUGCAUCAGACUAUGGGAACAAAUUUGGAGAGCCAUUGAUCCAGGGCUUCUGUAGAAAUUUUGGAAUGAGACUUCCUAGUGGGGAUAGGCGGGAAUGGUUGAAGCCAAUCAUGUUUAGUGCAGGCAUUGGGCAGAUUGACCACCUUCAUAUAUCAAAGGGAGAGCCUGACAUUGGAAUGUUGGUUGUUAAGAUUGGAGGUCCUGCUUAUCGUAUUGGGAUGGGAGGUGGGGCGGCCUCAAGCAUGGUUAGUGGCCAGAAUGAUGCAGAACUUGAUUUCAAUGCUGUGCAACGUGGGGAUGCUGAGAUGGCACAAAAACUAUAUCGUCUUGUUCGUGCUUGUAUUGAGAUGGGGGAUAAAAAUCCAAUUAUCAGCAUUCAUGAUCAAGGUGCUGGUGGGAACUGCAAUGUUGUAAAGGAGAUUAUAUAUCCAAAGGGUGCUGAGAUAGAUGUCCGAGCUAUUGUGGUUGGUGAUCAUACAAUGUCUGUUCUAGAAAUUUGGGGAGCAGAGUAUCAGGAGCAAGAUGCAAUCUUGGUGAAGCCUGAAAGUCAUGCGCUUUUACAAUCAAUCUGUAAUAGGGAAAAGGUUUCAAUGGCUGUGAUCGGAACUAUUAGUGGUGAUGGACGUGUUGUGUUAGUUGAUAGCUUAGCCACUCAGAAAUGUAUCUCAAAUGGACUCCCUCCACCACUCCCUGCUGUGGAUCUUGAACUGGAGAAAGUCCUAGGUGACAUGCCUCAAAAAUCUUUUAAAUUUAAUAGGGUUGUCUAUAAGCGAGAGCCACUUGAUAUUGCCCCAGGGAUCACUAUAAUAGAUUCUCUGAAAAGGGUAUUGAGCUUACCAUCUGUCUGUUCAAAACGCUUCUUAACAACAAAAGUUGAUAGGUGUGUUACUGGUCUAGUGGCACAACAGCAAACCGUUGGCCCUUUGCAGGUUCCCCUUGCUGAUGUUGCUGUUAUAGCUCAGACUUUUACCGAUGUUACUGGAGGUGCAUGUGCUAUUGGGGAACAACCAAUCAAAGGUCUGUUAGACCCCAAAGCAAUGGCUCGGUUGGCUGUUGGAGAAGCACUCACAAAUCUUGUAUGGGCGAAGGUCACUUCCCUUUCUGAUGUCAAGGCAAGUGGUAAUUGGAUGUAUGCUGCCAAGCUUGAUGGCGAAGGAGCUGCCAUGUAUGAUGCUGCCAUAUCUAUGUCCGAAGCAAUGAUUGAUCUUGGUAUUGCUAUUGAUGGAGGGAAAGAUAGCCUUUCUAUGGCAGCCCAUGCUGGAGGAGAAGUUGUCAAGGCUCCUGGAAAUCUUGUAAUAAGUGCUUAUGUUACUUGUCCUGAUAUAACAAAAACAGUGACACCGGAUUUGAAACUUGAAGAUGAUGGUGUUUUGCUUCAUAUUGAUUUGUCCAAGGGAAAGCAGCGAUUAGGUGGGUCUGCUCUUGCCCAGGCAUUUGACCAAGUUGGGGAUGAGUGUCCUGAUCUUGAUGAUAUUCCUUACCUUAAAAAGGUCUUUGAAGGUGUUCAAGACCUUCUUACUCAUGAGCUGAUUUCUGCUGGUCAUGACAUUAGUGAUGGUGGUCUAUUAGUUUGUGCCUUAGAGAUGGCAUUUGCGGGUAAUCGUGGAUUUACUUUGGACUUGACUUCGCAUGGUAUGAGUCUUUUCCACACACUGUAUGCAGAAGAGCUUGGGUUAGUUCUUGAGGUAAACAAGAAAAAUCUAGCUUUUGUAAUGGAUAGAUUGAAUGGUGUGGGAGUUUCAGCUAAGAUCAUAGGUCAAGUAAAUGUCACUCCAGUUAUAGAAGUUAAGGUUGAUGGGGUGCCUUGUUUAAAAGAAAAAACUACUAUCCUUAGGGAUAUGUGGGAAGAAACUAGUUUUCAGCUGGAAAAGUUCCAAAGAUUGGCAUCUUGUGUGGAUAUGGAGAGAGAAGGACUAAAACAUCGGUAUGAGCCCUCCUGGAGACUAUCCUUUACUCCUUCCUUCACUGAUGAAAAGUAUAUGUCUGCAACUUUAAAACCUAAAGUGGCCGUGAUUAGAGAAGAAGGGAGCAAUGGAGACAGAGAAAUGGCUGCAGCAUUUCAUGCUGCUGGUUUUGAACCAUGGGAUGUUACUAUGUCAGACCUUCUUAAUGGAGUGAUUUCUUUGCAAGAGUUUCGUGGAAUUGUGUUUGUUGGUGGAUUUAGCUAUGCUGAUGUGCUUGAUUCUGCUAAAGGUUGGUCUGCUUGCGUAAGAUUCAAUGAGCCCCUUUUAAAGCAAUUUCAGGAGUUUUACAAGCGUCCAGACACUUUCAGUCUAGGUGUAUGCAAUGGGUGUCAGCUAAUGGCCUUGUUGGGAUGGGUACCAGGCCCACAAGUUGGGGGUGUACUUGGUGCUGGUGGCGACCUAUCACAACCGAGGUUCAUCCACAAUGAGUCAGGGCGGUUUGAAUGCCGCUUUACAAGUGUGACAAUAAAGGACUCCCCAGCUAUAAUGUUCAAAGGUAUGGAGGGUAGUUCACUGGGGGUAUGGGCUGCUCAUGGUGAGGGAAGAGCUUAUUUCCCAGAUGAAGGUGUAUUUGAACAUAUAGUUCAUUCAGAUUUAGCUCCUGUAAGAUAUUGUGAUGAUGCUGGUAAUCCAACGGAGACCUACCCUUUCAAUGUGAAUGGUUCUCCUUUAGGGGUAGCAGCUAUUUGUUCCCCAGAUGGGAGGCAUCUUGCCAUGAUGCCUCAUCCAGAGCGUUGCUUCUUAAUGUGGCAGUUCCCAUGGUAUCCAAAGCAGUGGGAUGUGGACAAGAAAGGCCCUAGUCCUUGGUUGCGUAUGUUCCAAAAUGCAAGAGAUUGGUGUUCCUGAAAUGGUUACUCAAUAAUGAUAAAGCAAGAAUGAGGCCACAAGUUUAAAGGUCAUCUAUUUUCUGCAUUGGAAAUAGGACUGUUAAAAUGUCACUUUGAAUAAUCUGUUAAAAAAUAUGGUGGUCUAGUAGAUAGAAGCAAAAUUGCCUCUUCAACAUUUCAUGACAGUUUGCAAUCUGCAUGGAUGGCUAGUCUCCCACACCCCAAUUCUCAGUUGCUGGCUAACAAAGAGUUUGCAAACGAGAUACUAUCUCGAACACUGAAUAAGCGGAUAGCAGAAACACAUGAAGUGUCAUCCUUGGUCACUUUUAUUUGCUUGUCAGCUGCUUCCUAUAUCACUGGAUAAAUUGUUGCUGUUGAUGGAGGAUUCACUGUGAAUGGAUUUCAACCCAGCAUGAAAAUUACUUAAAAGAAAAUUGUCAUUUUUUGUUUUGUUUUCUGGAUUUGGUUACAGGGUCUGGCUAUCCUUUUUUCAGUUUGUCAUACACCAUUUUGUUUGUGGACUGGUGUUGUUGAACGUAUUCAUCAACUUAAAGCGAAUACUAAUGUAAAUUAUGCAAGCAUAUUUAAUUUGACAUUAUUU
Gastrolobium bilobum is the source of this 5027-nucleotide RNA transcript. It is a transcript of the gene named probable phosphoribosylformylglycinamidine synthase, chloroplastic/mitochondrial, with no coding region annotated. The transcript has 7 exons. NCBI's taxonomy places the organism in Eukaryota, Viridiplantae, Streptophyta, Magnoliopsida, Fabales, Fabaceae. The record is from RefSeq and is a predicted model, not a curated record.